GCUGACCAGCUAGCCCACCCUAACAAAAACAACAACCCAAUAUAAAUAACCCCAAACACACUACUCCUCCUAUAAACAAACCAUUUUACCCCCCUAGUAUGGGCGACAGAAAAGGAACUAUUGGAGCGAUAGAGAAAGUACCGCAAGGGAACGCUGAAAGAGAAAUGAAAUAACCCAGUAAAGCCUAAAAAAGCAGAGAUUUUACCUCGUACCUUUUGCAUCAUGAUUUAGCUAGUACUACCCAAGCAAAGAGAACUUUAGUUUGGACCCCCGAAACUAGGUGAGCUACUCCAAGACAGCCUAUCAAUAGGGCAAACCCGUCUCUGUGGCAAAAGAGUGGGAAGAGCUUUGAGUAGAGGUGACAGACCUACCGAACCUAGUUAUAGCUGGUUGCCUGAGAAUUGGAUAGGAGUUCAGCCUCCAGGCUUCUCUAUUCACCGCGGUCUUACCCCUACCGAUGCACUAAAGAAGCCUAGAGAGUUAAUCAAAGGGGGUACAGCCCCUUUGAGACAAGAUACAACUUUUCCAGGAGGGUAAAGAUCAUAUUUACCCAAGGUAACAAUGCCCAGGUGGGCCUAAAAGCAGCCAUCCUUACAGAAAGCGUUAAAGCUCAAGCAUUACACCUUCCCACAUAUUCAGAUAACCACAUCCCAACCCCCUAAUAUUAUCAGGCCAUCUCAUGCAUACAUGAGAGUGCACAUGCUAAUAUGAGUAACAAGAGAGCCUCCGCCUCUCUCCUUGCACACGUGUAAAUCGGAACGAACCCCCACCGAAACUUAACGGCCCCAAACAAAGAGGGCAAUGAACAACAAGUAAGCAACCAGAAAACCAUCCAAAAAACAACCGUUAACCCCACACUGGUGUGCCAUUAAGGAAAGACUAAAAGAAAAAGAAGGAACUCGGCAAACAUACCAAGCCUCGCCUGUUUACCAAAAACAUCGCCUCUUGCAAAAACAAAGAAUAAGAGGUCCAGCCUGCCCUGUGACUAUAUGUUUAACGGCCGCGGUAUUUUAACCGUGCGAAGGUAGCGCAAUCACUUGUCUUUUAAAUGGAGACCUGUAUGAAUGGCAUUACGAGGGCUUAACUGUCUCCUUUUUCUAGUCAGUGAAAUUGAUCUCCCCGUGCAGAAGCGGGGAUAUAACCAUAAGACGAGAAGACCCUAUGGAGCUUUAGACACCAAGGCAUAUCAUGUCAAACACCCCUAAACAAAGGACUAAACCAAAUGAAUCAUACCCCCAUGUCUUUGGUUGGGGCGACCGCGGGGAAAUAAAAAACCCCCACGUGGAAUGGGAGUACUACCUCCUACAACCAAGAGCUGCAGCUCUAAAAAACAGAAUAUCUGACCAAUAAGAUCCGGCAACGCCGAUCAACGGACCGAGUUACCCUAGGGAUAACAGCGCAAUCCCCUUUUAGAGCCCAUAUCGACAAGGGGGUUUACGACCUCGAUGUUGGAUCAGGACAUCCUAAUGGUGCAGCCGCUGUUAAGGGUUCGUUUGUUCAACGAUUAAAGUCCUACGUGAUCUGAGUUCAGACCGGAGUAAUCCAGGUCAGUUUCUAUCUAUGAUAUGUUCUUUUCUAGUACGAAAGGACCGAAGAGAAGAGGCCAAUGCUAAAAGCACGCCUCACCCCUCCUAUUGAAAACAACUAAAAUAGGCAAAAGGGCAUACCCCUCCACGCCCAAGAUAAUGGCAU
Molecule: ribosomal RNA, 1692 nt
Filed under: Thunnus albacares (yellowfin tuna)
Lineage: Eukaryota; Metazoa; Chordata; Actinopteri; Scombriformes; Scombridae
Description: 16S ribosomal RNA subunit
Rfam family: Bacterial large subunit ribosomal RNA
Source: RNAcentral